Molecule: ribosomal RNA, 253 nt
Filed under: uncultured bacterium
Lineage: Bacteria
Description: partial 16S ribosomal RNA
Rfam family: Bacterial small subunit ribosomal RNA
Source: RNAcentral
UACAGAGGGUGCAAGCGUUAAUCGGAAUUACUGGGCGUAAAGCGUGCGUAGUCGGUUAUCUAAGUCAGGUGUGGAAUCCCCGGGCUCAACCUGGGAAUUGCAUUUGAUACUGGAUAGCUAGAGUUCGGCAGAGGGAAGUGGAAUUUCUGGUGUAGCAGUGAGAUGCGUAGAUAUCAGGAGGAAUACCGAUGGCGAAGGCAGGUCUCUGGGCUGACACUGACGCUCAUGCACGAAAGCGUGGGGAGCAAACAGG